UACCAGAAAACUAUGAUGUGGUAUUUCCAAGCACAUAUCUGACUGCUCUUUGUGGAAAACUGACUAUUUCUGAGUUUUCUGGAG
Small nucleolar RNA from Apteryx haastii (Great spotted kiwi), 84 nucleotides. The record is from Ensembl. Lineage: Eukaryota; Metazoa; Chordata; Aves; Apterygiformes; Apterygidae.